CACUGCACCUUGGGACGUGGCGUGGUUAUUGGGGAAUUUAAGUCAUCAGGCUUCCUCCAGCACAUCUUUCGUAUAGCAUCGCCAGCUGGUUGCAGAGCUGGCUGCUGGGUGCCCCCUGCAGCACCAGGGAGUAGAAUAAGCGAUGCAAUGCCCCAUCUUGAGCAAAGCGAUCAUUCUCCGGGGAUACUUGGGCGUAUUCCUUCUAGCUCAAUGGAGCAAUCUUUCUGGGUGGUAGACACUUCUUCACACGCACAAAAAAAAAGAAGAAAACCAACGCUUUUGCUAAAAGCCCAAAAUAUUUCCGUAUAGCAUAUGGCGCCCUAAGAUAGGAGUAAACUUGCAGCAUCCGCUUCUGUCUGGCUUCCCGUGUUAUGUUAAAGGUGUUGCUCUGGGAUCUGUAGUGUAGAAAUGGAGUUGCUGCGGGGCAUGGAAAGUGUUUCAUUUGCGCCCAAGAGAAAAGCAGGCACUACACAGCUCCUUAGAGGCUGUGUAUCGGAUGAGUACCCUGAGAGUAAGAGCCCAGCUAUGAUGAUCCAUGUGGGAAGGUUAUUCCUAAUCAGCUGUGCCAGGUAAAGCAGCCCACUCCUGGUAACCCCCAUUUUUGUGGGUGUCUCCAGGAUGACCUGAAGAUGCAUUGCAGCAGGCCAGAAGGUGAGAGGGACUCUCGUGUCAGAGUACAGAAAUACCAGCAGUGACCCAGAGCUGUUCCCAUGUCCUGGCCUGGGAAGAAGAGCUGCUGGGAGCAAGCUGCUCUGGAUUCCUGAUGUCAGCUGGUGGGUAAAGAAAAAUUCCAGUCCUUUGUUCUCCUUUCACAAGGUUUUUACAGCAGUGCCUAUUCUACAGAGUCCCUCCUAAUUUACACAGCUGAAGUGUGAGGAAAGCCAAACUGCUCAUGGCUAUUCGGUGAAAUUACCUAACUAGUAACAUAGGUGCAGACUGGAUUAUUUGAACUGCUGCCGUUUACACGUGGUCAUACAUUGCAGAGAGGUUCCGUGGCACGUGGGAAUGGCAUGAUGUUGCUGAGUGCAGCCUUUGCUUUUUCAGUGGAAACUCUUUUUCCUGUAGGGUGGCUCUAUGCUCUUUUGGGCACCGGGGAGCAGGUUCUGGAAGAGCAGGCAGUCCAGAUCGCACCGAGGACAGCGUCUGUUCCAGGCCUGACUGUGCAGCAUGCGUGGGUUUGUGCUCGAGCCGAAAUAACGUGCGUUUUGCCGAUAAUGGUCCGUGCCCUCUCUGCUUCCCAACAGCUGGCUGCCAGAAGGAAGCACGCGGUGAAGUGGCACCUGCUGAAGCACGGAAUGACAGUCAUAAUCCGGGAGUGUCUCAUUAUCUGAUCAGCAGUAAUACAUAUUUUCCUCUCAUUGCUGUACCCUUCAGGAACAUGGCUAAAUACAAGGUGCCUUACGAGUUCAGGGGGGCAUUUUCAACAGUGCUGAUGGCGCCAGCAAAAUGACAUUAUUGAGAUAUGAUUGCAGAAUCCUGGCAACAGGAAUGAAAAGCAGCAGAAGUGCUGCUCCUUUUGUUCUACCCAAAUGAUACCAAUCACUGGCCGUGCUAAUGGUACCUUCAGAGAGACGUGCCAGUCAAAAAUCAGUGGCUUUUUUUGGCGUGUGCAUUCCUAGAACGCUUUUUGCAAUGUGACCAUAGGGGGUUGACACAAAUUACCAUACUGCUAGCACAGCUGUCCUACAUAAUUUGUUGUUGCGUAAAGUUAUAAUUAACGAUUUUAACAAGUACCAAGGCAGGCACGUUAGGAAUCCGCACUACAGAGCUUCGGGUUCUUUAAUAAGGCACAUCUGUUAUAAAUUAUAUGGAGGGUUUUUUUUUGCAAGUGUGCUAAACAAUGCUGGGUUUGACCACUUGCAGAAAGAUCUUAAUGGGAUCAAACCUGCUUCAACAACUGCCUGAGGGCCUCGUGGCUUGUGCAUCACACCAGCUCUGGCAGGACAAGCUUAGCCGCCGUGGAACGGGAUGGUGUUGGGUAAGGAGCUGAGGUCAGCCUUGUGAUGCAGCAGUAGUUGGUCAGAGUGGUUGUUGCUGGCUUUGUGGCGGUACUUGUGAGGAAAGGUGUAUCCUAGCUCCCCCGCUGCACCCAAAGGACGCUAGGAGCAUGCGGAAAGAAUAAACCUGAACUGGUAUUACUGGAACUCUAACUGGAAGCUCUGGGUGAACCAGUAUGAUGGCAGCCGGGGGAUCCAUAAAUCAAGCAGGCCCAUCUAGAAAAGAAGACACUUGCUGUUUCCCCUUAUUCACUCAUUCCUUGAAAAAUAUUGUCAUUGGUCACUGAGUUAUUUUGAGCUCUGAGAAAGUUCUGGGUCACACCCAGGAUGAGCACGUCACGCCUAUUGAUACACAGCUUGCGCUCUAGAAAACCUAGAGGAGGCUGCAGGAAGGUGCAGAAGCGGUAGGUGAACCAAUAUUUACAGUUUUUCCUUUCUCAUCUGCUUCUUGAAAAUAGCACAGAAGAAAGGAGCUGCAUAGAGGGAAGCUGUAUGAAGUUAAUCUUUUUGUUAACUUAAUGUUUCCUCUUACAGGGUCUGCCAAAUACAGAGGAAGGGAAAUCAGACUUGUUUAAAACAGUUUUCUUCUUCUUUAAACAGAAGAAAACAUCAAUCCUGUGAAUUUGGCAUUAUUUUCUGACAUCUGAACUAGACAACAGAGAAAUAGUGGAAGAAACUGUAUUGAUUUGGAGUGAGGCCAAAGUUCAGUGAAUCAGGACUCAGAAGAGAAAUGGAGAGGAACAGGUUACUUACCGUCACAGUCCAGCCAUCGAAUUUGCAGACCUUGGGUCUUCCAUUCCCAAGACAACUGAGCACAAUAUUCUCAGUUGGAGCAAAUAAGUGGAACUGAAAGGAACGCUUUCAGAGGAAGGAGAAUCACUCCCUGAACUGUUUUAGAUGUUAGCAGCAGCAAGACACAAACAAUGCAGACACGUUGAGAGUGCAAGGCUGCAGGGAAUACCACACGCAACCAUACACAAGAAACCCAUCCUACAGCUUCCCACAAGUCUAACAGAGUAAGUAUGGCUUUCUUUAAUUUACUGGCAAGUAAAUUAACUGCGGCUAUGCGGUUCUGCUCCUUGUGCCAUGCAUACGA
This is a long non-coding RNA of Oxyura jamaicensis (ruddy duck), 3093 nucleotides long. RefSeq lists it as uncharacterized. The transcript is spliced from 3 exons. Lineage: Eukaryota; Metazoa; Chordata; Aves; Anseriformes; Anatidae. The record is from RefSeq and is a predicted model, not a curated record.